RNAcentral lists this ribosomal RNA (495 nucleotides) under uncultured bacterium. RNAcentral's name for it is "partial 16S ribosomal RNA". It matches the Rfam family "Bacterial small subunit ribosomal RNA", at positions 28 to 507 of the family's 1533-position model. The record is from RNAcentral.
GACGAACGCUGGCGGCGUGCCUAAUACAUGCAAGUAGAACGCUGAAGGAGGAGCUUGCUUCUCCGGAUGAUUUGCGAACGGGUGAGUAACGCGUAGGUAACCUGCCUGGUAGCGGGGGAUAACUAUUGGAAACGAUAGCUAAUACCGCAUAAGAGUAGAUGUUGCAUGACAUUUGCUUAAAAGGUGCAAUUGCAUCACUACCAGAUGGACCUGCGUUGUAUUAGCUAGUUGGUGGGGUAACGGCUCACCAAGGCGACGAUACAUAGCCGACCUGAGAGGGUGAUCGGCCACACUGGGACUGAGACACGGCCCAGACUCCUACGGGAGGCAGCAGUAGGGAAUCUUCGGCAAUGGACGGAAGUCUGACCGAGCAACGCCGCGUGAGUGAAGAAGGUUUUCGGAUCGUAAAGCUCUGUUGUAAGAGAAGAACGAGUGUGAGAGUGGAAAGUUCACACUGUGACGGUAUCUUACCAGAAAGGGACGGCUAACUACGUG